RNAcentral lists this ribosomal RNA (238 nucleotides) under uncultured bacterium. RNAcentral's name for it is "partial 16S ribosomal RNA". It matches the Rfam family "Bacterial small subunit ribosomal RNA", at positions 15 to 235 of the family's 1533-position model. The record is from RNAcentral.
GAUCAUGGCUCAGGACGAACGCUGGCGGCGUGCUUAACACAUGCAAGUCGAACGGAGCACCCUUGAUUGAGGUUUCGGCCAAAUGAUAGGAAUGCUUAGCGGCGGACUGGUGAGUAACGCGUGAGGAACCUGCCUUUCAGAGGGGGACAACAGUUGGAAACGACUGCUAAUACCGCAUGACGCAUUUUGAUCGUAUGGUCGAAAUGCCAAAGAUUUAUCGCUGAAAGAUGGCCCCGCG